Molecule: ribosomal RNA, 501 nt
Filed under: Candida tropicalis
Lineage: Eukaryota; Fungi; Ascomycota; Pichiomycetes; Serinales; Debaryomycetaceae
Description: eukaryotic LSU rRNA
Rfam family: 5.8S ribosomal RNA (bases 142-295)
Source: RNAcentral
UUUUUGCAUUAAUUUGCCCCACAUUGUGUUUUUUAUUGAACAAAAUUUCUUUGGUGGCGGGAGCAAUCCUACCGCCAGAGGUUAUAACUAAACCAAACUUUUUAUUUACAGUCAAACUUGAUUUAUUAUUACAAUAGUCAAAACUUUCAACAACGGAUCUCUUGGUUCUCGCAUCGAUGAAGAACGCAGCGAAAUGCGAUACGUAAUAUGAAUUGCAGAUAUUCGUGAAUCAUCGAAUCUUUGAACGCACAUUGCGCCCUUUGGUAUUCCAAAGGGCAUGCCUGUUUGAGCGUCAUUUCUCCCUCAAACCCCCGGGUUUGGUGUUGAGCAAUACGCUAGGUUUGUUUGAAAGAAUUUAACGUGGAAACUUAUUUUAAGCGACUUAGGUUUAUCCAAAAACGCUUAUUUUGCUAGUGCCCACCACAAUUUAUUUCAUAACUUUGACCUCAAAUCAGGUAGGACUACCCGCUGAACUUAAGCAUAUCAAUAAGCGGAGAAAAA